UUGUAACAAGGUCUCCGUAGGUGAACCUGCGGAGGGAUCAUUACACAAAUAUGAAGGCGGGCUGGAACCUCUCGGGGUUACAGCCUUGCUGAAUUAUUCACCCUUGUCUUUUGCGUACUUCUUGUUUCCUUGGUGGGUUCGCCCACCACUAGGACAAACAUAAACCUUUUGUAAUUGCAAUCAGCGUCAGUAACAAAUUAAUAAUUACAACUUUCAACAACGGAUCUCUUGGUUCUGGCAUCGAUGAAGAACGCAGCGAAAUGCGAUAAGUAGUGUGAAUUGCAGAAUUCAGUGAAUCAUCGAAUCUUUGAACGCACAUUGCGCCCUUUGGUAUUCCAAAGGGCAUGCCUGUUCGAGCGUCAUUUGUACCCUCAAGCUUUGCUUGGUGUUGGGCGUCUUGUCUCUAGCUUUGCUGGAGACUCGCCUUAAAGUAAUUGGCAGCCGGCCUACUGGUUUCGGAGCGCAGCACAAGUCGCACUCUCUAUCAGCAAAGGUCUAGCAUCCAUUAAGCCUUUUUUCAACUUUGACCUCGAUCAGUAGAU
This 542-nucleotide ribosomal RNA is filed under the name Alternaria sp. YXN1. RNAcentral describes it as "eukaryotic LSU rRNA". The stretch from base 209 to 362 matches the Rfam family "5.8S ribosomal RNA". The record is from RNAcentral. Lineage: Eukaryota; Fungi; Ascomycota; Dothideomycetes; Pleosporales; Pleosporaceae.